UUCGGAUUGUAGUCUGCAACCCGACUACAUGAAGCUGGAAUCGCUAGUAAUCGCGAAUCAGAAUGUCGCGGUGAAUACGUUCCCGGGUCUUGUACACACCGCCCGUCACACCAUGGGAGAUGGAUAUGCCCGAAGUCAGUGACCUAACCGAAAGGGAGGAGCUGCCGAAGGUGGAGCCAUUAACUGGGGUGAAGUCGUAACAAGGUACC
RNAcentral lists this ribosomal RNA (209 nucleotides) under uncultured bacterium. RNAcentral describes it as "partial 16S ribosomal RNA". It matches the Rfam family "Bacterial small subunit ribosomal RNA", at positions 1292 to 1500 of the family's 1533-position model. The record is from RNAcentral.